RNAcentral lists this ribosomal RNA (548 nucleotides) under uncultured bacterium. RNAcentral's name for it is "partial 16S ribosomal RNA". It matches the Rfam family "Bacterial small subunit ribosomal RNA", at positions 355 to 895 of the family's 1533-position model. The record is from RNAcentral.
UGGGGAAUUUUGGACAAUGGGCGAAAGCCUGAUCCAGCAAUGCCGCGUGUGUGAAGAAGGCCUUCGGGUUGUAAAGCACUUUUGUCCGGAAAGAAAUCCUUGGUUCUAAUAUAGCCGGGGGGAUGACGGUACCGGAAGAAUAAGCACCGGCUAACUACGUGCCAGCAGCCGCGGUAAUACGUAAGGUGCGAGCGUUAAUCGGAAUUACUGGGCGUAAAGCGUGCGCAGGCGGUUUGCUAAGACCGAUGUGAAAUCCCCGGGCUCAACCUGGGAACUGCAUUGGUGACUGGCAGGCUAGAGUAUGGCAGAGGGGGGUAGAAUUCCACGUGUAGCAGUGAAAUGCGUAGAGAUGUGGAGGAAUACCGAUGGCGAAGGCAGCCCCCUGGGCCAAUACUGACGCUCAUGCACGAAAGCGUGGGGAGCAAACAGGAUUAGAUACCCUGGUAGUCCACGCCCUAAACGAUGUCAACUAGUUGUUGGGGAUUCAUUUCCUUAGUAACGUAGCUAACGCGUGAAGUUGACCGCCUGGGGAGUACGGUCGCAAGAUU